AUGAACGCUGGCGGCGUGCUUAACACAUGCAAGUCGAACGAUGGUCUGUAUGACAUAGUGGCAGACGGGUGAGUAACACGUAAGUAAUCUACCCUUGAAAGGAGGACAACCUGGCGAAAGUCGGGCUAAUACUCCAUACGAUCUCUUUCAGGCAUCUGAGAGAGAUGAAAGGCUUCGGCCGAUCGAGGAGGAACUUGCGAUUUAUCAGCUAGUUGGUAGGGUAGAAGCCUACCAAGGCUAUGACGAAUAGCCGGUCUAAAAGGAUGACCGGCCACAGGGACACUGAGACACGGGUCCCACUCCUACGGGAGGC
This 313-nucleotide ribosomal RNA is filed under the name uncultured bacterium. RNAcentral describes it as "bacterial SSU rRNA". It matches the Rfam family "Bacterial small subunit ribosomal RNA", at positions 29 to 349 of the family's 1533-position model. The record is from RNAcentral.